This 370-nucleotide ribosomal RNA is filed under the name uncultured bacterium. RNAcentral describes it as "bacterial SSU rRNA". It matches the Rfam family "Bacterial small subunit ribosomal RNA", at positions 100 to 494 of the family's 1533-position model. The record is from RNAcentral.
CACGGGUGAGUAACGCGUGGGAACGUACCUUUUGGUUCGGAACAACACAGGAAACUUGUGCUAAUACCGGAUAAGCCCUUACGGGGAAAGAUUUAUCGCCAGAAAGAUCGGCCCGCGUCUGAUUAGCUAGUUGGUGAGGUAAUGGCUCACCAAGGCGACGAUCAGUAGCUGGUCUGAGAGGAUGAUCAGCCACAUUGGGACUGAGACACGGUCCAAACUCAAUACGGGAGGCAGCAGUAGAGGGAAUAUUGGACAAUGGGAGAGCAACCAUGAUCCAGCCAUGCCGCGUGAAGUGAUGAAGGCCCUAGAGGUUGUAAAGCAUCUAUAUUGUGCGGCGAAGAUAAUGACGGUACCGGCAAGAAUAANGCCC